UACGUAGGGUGCAAGCGUUGUCCGGAAUUAUUGGGCGUAAAGAGCUCGUAGGCGGUCUGUUGCGUCGGCUGUGAAAACCCGGGGCUCAACUCCGGGCCUGCAGCCGAUACGGGCAGACUAGAGUUCGGCAGGGGAGACUGGAAUUCCUGGUGUAGCGGUGAAAUGCGCAGAUAUCAGGAGGAACACCGGUGGCGAAGGCGGGUCUCUGGGCCGGUACUGACGCUGAGGAGCGAAAGCGUGGGGAGCAAACAGG
This 253-nucleotide ribosomal RNA is filed under the name uncultured bacterium. RNAcentral describes it as "partial 16S ribosomal RNA". It matches the Rfam family "Bacterial small subunit ribosomal RNA", at positions 524 to 776 of the family's 1533-position model. The record is from RNAcentral.